UACAGAGGGUGCAAGCGUUAAUCGGAGUUACUGGGCGUAAAGGGUACGUAGGCGGUCAAUUAAGCCAGUUGUGAAAUCCCUGGGCUUAACCUGGGAACUGCAAUUGGGACUGGUCGACUAGAGUCGAAGAGAGGGAAGCGGAAUUUCCGGUGUAGCGGUGAAAUGCGUAGAUAUCGGAAGGAACACCCGUGGCGAAGGCGGCUUCCUGGCUUCAGACUGACGCUGAGGUACGAAAGCGUGGGUAGCGAACAGG
This 253-nucleotide ribosomal RNA is filed under the name uncultured bacterium. RNAcentral's name for it is "partial 16S ribosomal RNA". It matches the Rfam family "Bacterial small subunit ribosomal RNA", at positions 524 to 776 of the family's 1533-position model. The record is from RNAcentral.